RNAcentral lists this ribosomal RNA (433 nucleotides) under uncultured bacterium. RNAcentral describes it as "partial 16S ribosomal RNA". It matches the Rfam family "Bacterial small subunit ribosomal RNA", at positions 29 to 507 of the family's 1533-position model. The record is from RNAcentral.
AACGAACGCUGGCGGCAUGCCUAACACAUGCAAGUCGAACGAGACCUUCGGGUCUAGUGUCGCACGGGUUCGUAACGCGUGGGAACCUGCCCUUAUGGUCGGAAUAACUCCCCGAAAGGGGUGCUAAUACCGGAUAAUGUCUUCUGACCAAAGAUUUAUCGCCUUUGGAUGGGCCCGCGUUGGAUUAGCUAGUUGGUAGGGUAAAAGCCUACCAAGGCGACGAUCCAUAGCUGGUCUGAGAGGAUGAUCAGCCACACUGGGACUGAGACGCGGCCCAGAAUCCUACGGGAGGCAGCAGUGGCGAAUAUUGGACAAUGGGCGAAAGCCUGAUCCAGCAAUGACGGGUGAGUGAUGAAGGCAUUAGGGUUGUAAAGCUCUUUUACCCGGGAUGAUAAUGACAGUACCGGGAGAAUAAGCUCCGGCUAACUCCGUG